RNAcentral lists this ribosomal RNA (468 nucleotides) under uncultured bacterium. Its description in RNAcentral is "partial 16S ribosomal RNA". It matches the Rfam family "Bacterial small subunit ribosomal RNA", at positions 28 to 507 of the family's 1533-position model. The record is from RNAcentral.
GACGAACGCUGGCGGCGUGCUUAACACAUGCAAGUCGAACGGAAAGGCCCUGCUUUUGUGGGGUGCUCGAGUGGCGAACGGGUGAGUAACACGUGAGUAACCUGCCCUUGACUUUGGGAUAACUUCAGGAAACUGGGGCUAAUACCGGAUAGGAGCUCCUGCUGCAUGGUGGGGGUUGGAAAGUUUCGGCGGUUGGGGAUGGACUCGCGGCUUAUCAGCUUGUUGGUGGGGUAGUGGCUUACCAAGGCUUUGACGGGUAGCCGGCCUGAGAGGGUGACCGGCGACAUUGGGACUAAGAUACGGACCAGACUCCUACGGGAGGCAGAAGUGGGGAGUAUUGCACAAUGGGCGGAAGCCAGAUGCGGCGACGCCGCGUGCGGGAUGACGGCCUUCGGGUUGUAAACCGCUUUCGCCUGUGACGAAGCGUGAGUGACGGUAAUGGGUAAAGAAGCACCGGCUAACUACGUG